GCCAAACAGCUAGCUUAGCCAUCAAUAUUAACCCAACAAUGUUUAUAACAAAACAUAGCCUAACACCAAAAACUAAACCAUUUUUUUACCUGAGUAUGGGAGACAGAAAAGGUUCGACCAAUGAGCAAUAGAAAAAGUACCGCAAGGGAAAGCUGAAAGAGAAGUGAAACAACCCAUAUAAGCAAUAAAAAACAAAGACUAAACCUUGUACCUUUUGCAUCAUGAUUUAGCCAGUACCCUCAAGCAAAGAGAUCUUUAGUUUGAUACCCCGAAACCAGGUGAGCUACCCCGAGACAGCCUAUAUAACUUAGGGCUAACCCGUCUCUGUGGCAAAAGAGUGGGAAGAGCUCCGGGUAGAAGUGACAGACCUACCGAACCUGGUGAUAGCUGGUUGCCUGAGAAGUGGAUAGAAGUUCAGCCCCGCAUACCCCAAACCAAAACAUUCUUCUUAAGAUUUACUUAAGAGAUACAUACGGGAGUUAGUUAAAGGGGGUACAGCCCCUCUAACAAAGGAUACAACCUUCGCAGGAGAAUAAAGAUCACAAUAUUCAAAACACCCUGUUCUAGUGGGCCUAAAAGCAGCCACCUAUAUAGAAAGCGUUAAAGCUCAGACAGAAGAAAGUUUAUUAUACUGAUAAAAAAUCUUAUUUCCCUAAAAAUAUCAGGCUAGUCCAUGCCAACAUGGAAGAAAUUAUGCUAAAAUGAGUAACAAGAAGACACGUUCUUCUCCAAGCACAAGUGUAAAUCAGAUCGGACAGACCACUGAAAAUUAACGAACCCAAACAAAGAGGGCAGUGUGGACAAUAAAAAAACCAGGAAAACCCCACAAUUAAACCAAUCGUUAACCCCACACUGGAGUGCUAUAUUUAAAGGAAAGACUAAAAGAAAGGGAAGGAACUCGGCAAACCCAAGCCUCGCCUGUUUACCAAAAACAUCGCCUCCUGCAACUAUUAAGUAUAGGAGGUCCAGCCUGCCCAGUGACUACGGGUUCAACGGCCGCGGUAUUUUGACCGUGCAAAGGUAGCGCAAUCACUUGUCUUUUAAAUAGAGACCUGUAUGAAUGGCUAAACGAGGGCUUAACUGUCUCCCCCUUCUGGUCAGUGAAAUUGAUCUAUCCGUGCAGAAGCGGGUAUAAGUAUACAAGACGAGAAGACCCUUUGGAGCUUAAGGUACAAAAUUCAACCACGUUAAACAACUCAACAAAAAGCAAGAACUUAGUGGAAUAUGAAUUUUUACCUUCGGUUGGGGCGACCGCGGAGGAAAAACCAGCCUCCGAGUGGAAUGGGCCAAACCCCUAAAACUAAGAGAAACAUCUCUAAGCCACAGAACAUCUGACCAAAAAUGAUCCGGCCUUAUAGCCGAUCAACGAACCAAGUUACCCUAGGGAUAACAGCGCAAUCCUCUCCCAGAGUCCAUAUCGACGAGGGGGUUUACGACCUCGAUGUUGGAUCAGGACAUCCUAAUGGUGCAGCCGCUAUUAAGGGUUCGUUUGUUCAACGAUUAAAGUCCUACGUGAUCUGAGUUCAGACCGGAGCAAUCCAGGUCAGUUUCUAUCUGUAACGCUACUUUUCCUAGUACGAAAGGAUCGGAAAAGAGGGGCCCAUGCUUAAAGCACGCCCCACCCCUAAUUAAUGAAGACAAAUAAAUUAAGUAAAGGGAGGGCCAAAACCCCUGCCGCCUAAAAUAAAGACAU
This 1693-nucleotide ribosomal RNA is filed under the name Squalidus chankaensis (Khanka gudgeon). Its description in RNAcentral is "16S ribosomal RNA". It matches the Rfam family "Bacterial large subunit ribosomal RNA". Lineage: Eukaryota; Metazoa; Chordata; Actinopteri; Cypriniformes; Gobionidae. The record is from RNAcentral.